This 255-nucleotide ribosomal RNA is filed under the name uncultured bacterium. RNAcentral describes it as "partial 16S ribosomal RNA". It matches the Rfam family "Bacterial small subunit ribosomal RNA", at positions 524 to 776 of the family's 1533-position model. The record is from RNAcentral.
UACGUAGGGACCAAGGCGUUGUCCGGAAUCAUUGGGCGUAAAGCGCGCGUAGGCGGCCCGGUAAGUCCGUUGUAAAAGUCGAAGGCUCAACCUUCGAAAGCCGAUGGAUACUGCCGGGCUAGAGUACGGAAGAGGCGAGUAGAAUUCCUGGUGUAGCGGUGGAAUGCGCAGAUAUCAAGGAGGAAUACCCAUAGCGAAGGCAGCUCGCUGGGACGUUACUGACGCUGAGGCGCGAAAGCGUGGGUAGCAAACAGG